RNAcentral lists this ribosomal RNA (393 nucleotides) under uncultured bacterium. RNAcentral's name for it is "partial 16S ribosomal RNA". It matches the Rfam family "Bacterial small subunit ribosomal RNA", at positions 523 to 918 of the family's 1533-position model. The record is from RNAcentral.
AUACGGAGGAUGCGAGCGUUAUCCGGAUUUAUUGGGUUUAAAGGGAGCGUAGGCGGGAGAUCAAGUCAGCUGUGAAAUGUAGAUGCUCAACAUCUGCACUGCAGUUGAAACUGGUUUUCUUGAGUGCGUAAGGGGCAGGCGGAAUUCGUCGUGUAGCGGUGAAAUGCUUAGAUAUGACGAAGAACUCCGAUCGCGAAGGCGGCCGGCCGGGCCGCGACUGACGCUGAAGCUCGAAGGUGCGGGUAUCGAACAGGAUUAGAUACCCUGGUAGUCCGCACAGUAAACGAUGGAUACUCGCUGUCGGCGAUAUACGGUCGGUGGCCAAGCGAAAGCGUUAAGUAUCCCACCUGGGGAGUACGCCGGCAACGGUGAAACUCAAAUGAAUUGACGGGG